This is a long non-coding RNA of Rhopalosiphum padi (bird cherry-oat aphid), 2344 nucleotides long. RefSeq lists it as uncharacterized. NCBI's taxonomy places the organism in Eukaryota, Metazoa, Arthropoda, Insecta, Hemiptera, Aphididae. The transcript has 4 exons. The record is from RefSeq and is a predicted model, not a curated record.
AAGCCACUAAGAGCCGCUUUAAUCUAAAUAUGCGGAACUGAGUGUAAAUAAUUUACUCGAUAAUUUAUAUUGUUCUGGUACUCUUAUGUCAUAAACUCAUAAACAUAAACCAAUGCAACGAUAAUCAAUUAAAUUAUAAUGAUAAUAAUUAGUCAGUACUCAGUACUCACUAAUCACUAGGUAUUCAGUUUUCGUUACUUGUCACCAUGAUUUAAGAUAAUUAUUAUCUUAAAUUAUGCUUAUUGCUUGUCACUUACUCACUUGCACGGAUAUUAAUAUACGAUUAAUAUAUUAAAAUAUACUAAUCAGUGCUCACUUGUAAGUGUUACUCACUCUACUAUAGCAAAAUAAUACUAUCCGACGUCGUGUAUAGACAUAUUAUAUAUUAUAGUGUUUGAUGUUAGUCCUUACUCCUUAGUUAUUAAUCUUCUGUCUUAGUCAAUACUCAAUAGUCAGUAAUCAGUGUGCAGACUGUACAGAAAAUAAUAAAAAUGUACAUUUUUUUCUUUCUUAAUCUGUGGAAUAGACCAGACAACAGUUAAGUGUUGACUGUCGAGACCACACACACAUUUUUAAGUGAAAGAAUAUACUACAAAGCCAAUAAACGAUUUGAAGAAAGGUAUUUAUAUAUUUCCAUAACAGACACCUCAAGACAAAAGAUAUGAACAAUAUUCAACUUGUAAAAAAUAAAUAAAUUUGUUAUUAACCAUUGAGAUUUGGACUAUAUAGAUUUCAUGCAUGGGUACAAUUAUUUGAUUGUUUAAAUCGCUUAGAAUGCAAGACAUAAGAGUAUAAGACUGAAGACUGAUACAAAAUUUAUUUAACCAGUUAUUGUAUUAAACAAUAAUAAGUCAGAUAGUCAGAACCACUAGGUAAUGCAUAAGUUUUUCAUAAUGAAAAAAAUAUCGUUCCAGAAAGUUUUCAUACAGAAAUGGAUUUAUUGAUUGAUGUUUUGCUACAAGGAAAAGGAAAUACAAACAAUGGUAACACUACAAGGUUGUUUUUAAAAACCCAGAAAAGUGUACUGAAAUAAUUGGGGUUCAUUUUACAUUGCUAAAGUAUAAUUGAUAAUGGAUUUGAAACUAGUUCAAUUACAUUUGAUGAAUAUACUUUGGGUACAACUACAUUGUUUUUUGGUAUUUAUCCUUAGUGCUGUGUACAACAGAAAAUAAUUUCAGUAUGCAACAGUUUAUUAAUUUAUAUUGAGAAUAAACAUUGUCAAAAUUUUAGAUACUCCCUUCUUUUAUGUAUUCAUAAGAAUUAAUAUAGAAUUGAUUAUUAUUUAUUUUCAAUCAGCGAGAAAGAAGACAAACUGUGAAUGUGGAAAGGUUCAAACAAUAGCUCAUCUUUUAGCAUGCUACAUCUGCCCAAUGUAAUAUAAGACUUGGAAUCUGCAAACAAGGCUAUAGAGGUAGCAGAGUACUGAAGUUGUACAAUAUAAAAACACUAUUUUAUAUGUUACCUUUACUAUACCAUAUAAUGUAUAUUAUCAAUAAGUUUAUUGUAAUUUUAUAUUUGUUGACUUUAAAUUAUAUUUUAUUUUUAAUACUUUAAAUUUGAUCUGUCAUCCCUAACUCGGCAUAAAAAUAACCAUAUAGAACAAAAAUAACCUUUAAAAUUAAAAUAUAUAUUAUGAAGAACUUUAUAUAGUCAAAAAAAAAAAUUAAAAUUAAUAUAUUUUUAUCUUCUUUCUAUCAUUAAUACACAAUAGAAGUGUUUCUCCAAGUAUUGUUCAGCUAUUUAAAAUCAGAAUGAUGGUGCAUUCAUUUUGUCAUGUAUCAUCAUAACGGACAUGGACUAAGACAGAAAGGACUGGAAACACUGGAAACGAGCCCGAAAGAUUUCCUUAGUAACAGUAGUCAGUAGUACCACAGAACAAUAAAUAAUUCCGUUACACAUUUGGCACAUGCAUUGAAUUAUGAAAAACAAUUGGUAUAUGUAUAUUGGCCAAAAGACAAAUGCAGCUUACUAAGAGAUGAUGUAGCUUUAGUCGACUCUCCGGGACUGGACCGGGAGUAAAUGUUACACCACAUUUGGAUGAUUGGAUUGAUGGCGAUGUUUUUAUGUUAAUGGCUAAUGCUGAAUCAACAUUGAUGAUUGCUGUAAGUCAAUUGUGUAUAUUAUAAAUAAUAUUUCAACAAUUUUUAAUGUAGUAUUUUAUAUUGUAUUUAAAAUUUAGUUGAGUUAAUAUAGUAUAUACCAACAUUUUUAGUGGUACUCCUGGUUAGGUUAAAUAUAAUUAUUCUAUAUCUAACAAUCAAAAAUAUAUUAUUUUUAAAAAAAUAUGGAAAAUGAAUUUAUAAUUAAACUAAAAUCAUAUAUUAUAUUAUUAGACUAUAUAAAU